UGCAGCAACGCCGCGUGGAGGAUGACGCAUUUCGGUGUGUAAACUCCUUUUAUAAGGGAAGAUAAUGACGGUACCUUAUGAAUAAGCACCGGCUAACUCCGUGCCAGCAGCCGCGGUAAUACGGAGGGUGCAAGCGUUACUCGGAAUCACUGGGCGUAAAGGAUGCGUAGGCUGGAAAUCAAGUCGAGAGUGAAAUCCAACGGCUCAACCGUUGAACUGCUCUCGAAACUGGUUACCUAGAAUAUGGGAGAGGUAGAUGGAAUUGGUGGUGUAGGGGUAAAAUCCGUAGAUAUCACCAGGAAUACCGAUUGCGAAGGCGAUCUACUGGAACAUUAUUGACGCUGAGGCAUGAAAGCGUGGGGAGCAAACAGGAUUAGAUACCCUGGUAGUCCACGCCCUAAACGAUGCACACUAGUUGUUGCGAUGCUAGUCAUUGCAGUAAUGCACUUAACAGAUUAAGUGUGCCGCCUGGGGAGUACGGUCGCAAGAUUAAAACUCAAAGGAAUAGACGGGGACCCGCACAAGCGGUGGAGCAUGUGGUUUAAUUCGAAGAUACACGAAGAACCUUACCUGGCCUUGAUAUCCUAAGAAUCCUUUAGAGAUAAGGGAGUGCUAGUUUACUAGAACUUAGAGACAGGUGCUGCACGGCUGUCGUCAGCUCGUGUCGUGAGAUGUUGGGUUAAGUCCCGCAACGAGCGCAACCCUCGUGAUUAGUUGCUAACAGUUCGGCUGAGCACUCUAAUCAGACUGCCUUCGCAAGGAGGAGGAAGGUGAGGACGACGUCAGUCAUCAUGGCCCUUAUGGCCAGGGCUACACACGUGCUACAAUGGCUAGGACAAAGAGACGCGAUACUGCGAAGUGGAGCAAAUCUUAAAACCUAGUCUCAGUUAGGAUUGGAGUCUGCAACUCGACUCCAUGAAGCUGGAAUCGCUAGU
This 935-nucleotide ribosomal RNA is filed under the name uncultured Sulfurospirillum sp. Its description in RNAcentral is "bacterial SSU rRNA". It matches the Rfam family "Bacterial small subunit ribosomal RNA", at positions 387 to 1339 of the family's 1533-position model. The record is from RNAcentral. Lineage: Bacteria; Pseudomonadati; Campylobacterota; Epsilonproteobacteria; Campylobacterales; Sulfurospirillaceae.